CCUCAAGUGAUGUGUGACUAC
Molecule: ribosomal RNA, 21 nt
Filed under: Anopheles arabiensis
Lineage: Eukaryota; Metazoa; Arthropoda; Insecta; Diptera; Culicidae
Description: partial 28S ribosomal RNA
Source: RNAcentral